Molecule: ribosomal RNA, 482 nt
Filed under: uncultured bacterium
Lineage: Bacteria
Description: partial 16S ribosomal RNA
Rfam family: Bacterial small subunit ribosomal RNA
Source: RNAcentral
GACGAACGCUGGCGGCGUGCCUAACACAUGCAAGUCGAACGGAACUGUUUUGAAAGAUUUCUUCGGAAUGAAUUUGAUUUAGUUUAGUGGCGGACGGGUGAGUAACGCGUGAGUAACCUGCCUUCAAGAGGGGAAUAACAUUCUGAAAAGAAUGCUAAUACCGCAUGACAUAUCGGAACCACAUGGUUUUGAUAUCAAAGAUUUUAUCGCUUGAAGAUGGACUCGCGUCCGAUUAGUUAGUUGGUGAGGUAACGGCUCACCAAGACCGCGAUCGGUAGCCGGACUGGGAGGUUGAACGGCCACAUUGGGACUGAGACACGGCCCAGACUCCUACGGGAGGCAGCAGUGGGGGAUAAUGCGCAAUGGGGGCAACCCUGACGCAGCAACGCCGCGUGAAGGAUGAAGGUUUUCGGAUUGUAAACUUCUUUUAUUAAGGACGAAAAAUGACGGUACUUAAUGAAUAAGCUCCGGCUAACUACGUG